AUUGAACGCAGGCGGCAUGCCUUACACAUGCAAGUCGAACGGCAGCACGGGUGCUUGCACCUGGUGGCGAGUGGCGAACGGGUGAGUAAUACAUCGGAACGUACCUUAUCGUGGGGGAUAACGCAGCGAAAGCUGUGCUAAUACCGCAUACGCCCUGAGGGGGAAAGCGGGGGAUCGCAAGACCUCGCGCGAUUAGAGCGGCCGAUGCCUGAUUAGCUUGUUGGUGGGGUAAAAGCCCACCAAGGCGACGAUCAGUAGCUGGUCUGAGAGGACGAUCAGCCACACUAGGACUGAGACACGGCCCAGACUCCUACGGGAGGCAGCAGUGGGGAAUUUUGGACAAUGGGGGCAACCCUGAUCCAGCAAUGCCGCGUGAGUGAAGAAGGCCUUCGGGUUGUAAAGCUCUUUUGUCAGGGAAGAAACACCGGCUCUAACACAGUCUGGGAAUGACGGUACCUGAAGAAUAAGCACCGGCUAACUACGUGCCAGCCGCCGCCGUAA
This 501-nucleotide ribosomal RNA is filed under the name uncultured bacterium. Its description in RNAcentral is "partial 16S ribosomal RNA". It matches the Rfam family "Bacterial small subunit ribosomal RNA", at positions 30 to 523 of the family's 1533-position model. The record is from RNAcentral.